Molecule: ribosomal RNA, 465 nt
Filed under: uncultured bacterium
Lineage: Bacteria
Description: partial 16S ribosomal RNA
Rfam family: Bacterial small subunit ribosomal RNA
Source: RNAcentral
GACGAACGCUGGCGGCGUGCUUAACACAUGCAAGUCGAACGGAAAGGCCCUGCUUGCAGGGUACUCGAGUGGCGAACGGGUGAGUAACACGUGGGUGAUCUGCCCUGCACUUCGGGAUAAGCCUGGGAAACUGGGUCUAAUACCGGAUAGGAGCCAUUUUUAGUGUGAUGGUUGGAAAGUUUUUUCGGUGUAGGAUGAGCUCGCGGCCUAUCAGCUUGUUGGGGGGGUAAUGGCCUACCAAGGCGGCGACGGGUAGCCGGCCUGAGAGGGUGGACGGCCACAGUGGGACUGAGAUACGGCCCAGACUCCUACGGGAGGCAGCAGUGGGGAAUAUUGCACAAUGGGCGCAAGCCUGAUGCAGCGACGCCGCGUGGGGGAUGACGGCCUUCGGGUUGGAAACUCCUUUCGCUAGGGACGAAGCUUUUUGUGACGGUACCUAGAGAAGAAGCACCGGCUAACUACGUG